AGUAAUGUCUGGGAAACUGCCUGAUGGAGGGGGAUAACUACUGGAAACGGUAGCUAAUACCGCAUAACGUCGCAAGACCAAAGAGGGGGACCUUCGGGCCUCUUGCCAUCGGAUGUGCCCAGAUGGGAUUAGCUAGUAGGUGGGGUAAAGGCUCACCUAGGCGACGAUCCCUAGCUGGUCUGAGAGGAUGACCAGCCACACUGGAACUGAGACACGGUCCAGACUCCUACGGGAGGCAGCAGUGGGGAAUAUUGCACAAUGGGCGCAAGCCUGAUGCAGCCAUGCCGCGUGUAUGAAGAAGGCCUUCGGGUUGUAAAGUACUUUCAGCGGGGAGGAAGGAGUAAAGUUAAUACCUUUGCUCAUUGACGUUACCCGCAGAAGAAGCACCGGCUAACUCCGUGCCAGCAGCCGCGGUAAUACGGAGGUGCAAGCGUUAAUCGGAAUUACUGGGCGUAAGCGCACGCAGGCGGUUUGUUAAGUCAGAUGUGAAAUCCCCGGGCUCAACCUGGGAACUGCAUCUGAUACUGGCAAGCUUGAGUCUCGUAAAGGGGGGUAGAAUUCAGUGUAACGGUGAAUG
RNAcentral lists this ribosomal RNA (577 nucleotides) under Escherichia coli. RNAcentral describes it as "bacterial SSU rRNA". It matches the Rfam family "Bacterial small subunit ribosomal RNA", at positions 109 to 688 of the family's 1533-position model. The record is from RNAcentral. Lineage: Bacteria; Pseudomonadati; Pseudomonadota; Gammaproteobacteria; Enterobacterales; Enterobacteriaceae.